GCUUACGGCCAUACCAGCCUGAAUACACCCGAUCUCGUCCGAUCUCGGAAGCUAAGCAGGGUCGGGCCUGGUUAGUACUUGGAUGGGAGACCGCCUGGGAAUACCAGGUGCUGUAAGCG
Oncorhynchus mykiss (rainbow trout) is the source of this 119-nucleotide ribosomal RNA. The record is from Ensembl. NCBI's taxonomy places the organism in Eukaryota, Metazoa, Chordata, Actinopteri, Salmoniformes, Salmonidae.